AUUGAACGCUGGCGGCAUGCUUUACACAUGCAAGUCGAACGGUAACAGGCCGCAAGGUGCUGACGAGUGGCGAACGGGUGAGUAAUGCAUCGGAACGUGCCCAGUCGUGGGGGAUAACGCAGCGAAAGCUGCGCUAAUACCGCAUCCGAUCUAUGGAUGAAAGCGGGGGACCGUAAGGCCUCGCGCGAUUGGAGCGGCGGAUGUCAGAUUAGGCAGUUGGUGGGGUAAAGGCUCACCAAGCCGACGAUCUGUAGCUGGUCUGAGAGGACGACCAGCCACACUGGGACUGAGACACGGCCCUGACUCCUACGGGAGGCAGCAGUGGGGAAUUUUGGACAAUGGGGGCAACCCUGAUCCAGCAAUGCCGCGUGCAGGAAGAAGGCCUUCGGGUUGUAAACUGCUUUUGUACGGAGCGAAACGGCUCUGGUUAAUACCUGGGGCUAAUGACGGUACCGUAAGAAUAAGCACCGGCUAACUACGUGCCAGCAGCCGCCGUAA
RNAcentral lists this ribosomal RNA (498 nucleotides) under uncultured bacterium. Its description in RNAcentral is "partial 16S ribosomal RNA". It matches the Rfam family "Bacterial small subunit ribosomal RNA", at positions 29 to 523 of the family's 1533-position model. The record is from RNAcentral.